RNAcentral lists this ribosomal RNA (541 nucleotides) under uncultured bacterium. Its description in RNAcentral is "partial 16S ribosomal RNA". It matches the Rfam family "Bacterial small subunit ribosomal RNA", at positions 355 to 885 of the family's 1533-position model. The record is from RNAcentral.
UGGGGAAUAUUGCACAAUGGGCGCAAGCCUGAUGCAGCCAUGCCGCGUGUGUGAAGAAGGCCUUCGGGUUGUAAAGCACUUUCAGCGAGGAGGAAGGUGGUGAGCUUAAUACGCUCAUCAAUUGACGUUACUCGCAGAAGAAGCACCGGCUAACUCCGUGCCAGCAGCCGCGGUAAUACGGAGGGUGCAAGCGUUAAUCGGAAUUACUGGGCGUAAAGCGCACGCAGGCGGUUUGUUAAGUCAGAUGUGAAAUCCCCGGGCUCAACCUGGGAACUGCAUUUGAAACUGGCAAGCUAGAGUCUCGUAGAGGGGGGUAGAAUUCCAGGUGUAGCGGUGAAAUGCGUAGAGAUCUGGAGGAAUACCGGUGGCGAAGGCGGCCCCCUGGACGAAGACUGACGCUCAGGUGCGAAAGCGUGGGGCAGCAAACAGGAUUAGAUACCCUGGUAGUCCACGCUGUAAACGAUGUCGAUUUGGAGGUUGUGCCCUUGAGGCGUGGCUUCCGGAGCUAACGCGUUAAAGUCGACCGCCUGGGGGAGUACGG